This 447-nucleotide ribosomal RNA is filed under the name Triticum aestivum (bread wheat). Its description in RNAcentral is "partial small subunit ribosomal RNA". Lineage: Eukaryota; Viridiplantae; Streptophyta; Magnoliopsida; Poales; Poaceae. The record is from RNAcentral.
AUGGAAUGGAUAAGGACUACAGAGAAAUUCUUCUCCAUGGUGUAUGUGCCCGAGGAGGCCAAGUGGGACUAUGCCCAAAUGUACCUAACAGGAAGAGCUGAUGUAUGGCUUAGAAACUCUAGCGUUUUGGAACAAAACCUGACAUGGGAACAAUUCUGCCAGGUAGUGCUCAAAAGAUUCUCGGGGGACAGUUCUUAUGAGGUAGUUGAGAAAUUCAACUCCAUCAAACAAGGCACCAACUCUGUUUCUGAGUACACCGACAAAUUUGAAGAGAAAAUGUCCUCUUACAAAAGAGAAAACCCAGGUGUCUCCAAAAGCUACUACAUCAAGUGUUACAUAAAUGGCCUGAAACCUGAGAUCAAACAUUACCUGAAACCAUUCAAGCCACAGACCCUAUAUGAUGCAGUUGAAACAGCUCGAGACAUGGAACUAGGAACUCAAGCCUAG